ACCUGCGGAAGGAUCAUUAUUG
This 22-nucleotide ribosomal RNA is filed under the name Rhizoctonia solani. RNAcentral's name for it is "partial 18S ribosomal RNA". The record is from RNAcentral. Lineage: Eukaryota; Fungi; Basidiomycota; Agaricomycetes; Cantharellales; Ceratobasidiaceae.